GUGGGGAAUCUUGCGCAAUGGGCGAAAGCCUGAUCCAGCCAUGCCGCGUGUGUGAAGAAGGUCUUCGGAUUGUAAAGCACUUUAAGUUGGGAGGAAGGGCAGUAAGUUAAUACCUUGCUGUUUUGACGUUACCGACAGAAUAAGCACCGGCUAACUUCGUGCCAGCAGCCGCGGUAAUACGAAGGGUGCAAGCGUUAAUCGGAAUUACUGGGCGGAAAGCGCGCGUAGGUGGUUUUGUAAGUUGGAGGUGAAAUCCCCGGGCUCAACCUGGGAACUGCCUCCAAAACUGCAUGACUAGAGUACGGUAGAGGGUAGUGGAAUUUCCUGUGUAGCGGUGAAAUGCGUAGAUAUAGGAAGGAACACCAGUGGCGAAGGCGACCACCUGGACUGAUACUGACACUGAGGUGCGAAAGCGUGGGGAGCAAACAGGAUUAGAUACCCUUGUAGUCC
Molecule: ribosomal RNA, 450 nt
Filed under: uncultured bacterium
Lineage: Bacteria
Description: partial 16S ribosomal RNA
Rfam family: Bacterial small subunit ribosomal RNA
Source: RNAcentral